GGAAAGUAGACAAACCACCCGCACAAAAACACUCUUUCUUCUUACUCUCAGUUGAGGUCAAUUCUUGGAAUCAUGUCUGAAAUAGGAACAUCUUCUGCACCCAGCCAACAGCAGCCAUCCCCUCAACAAGAAGGUCCAUCCCAACCACAUAAUGGCAUAGAUUGCAGUACUGCAGUUGGAUGUACUAGAAGUGACUGCCAAUUUUUCCACCGGUCCUGUGUGGGGAAGCGCUUACCUGUGGAAUUUAAUGAACUUGGGCAGCCCAUUGGAGCAAAUGCAAGGAUACUGGCUCAAUCAAUUGGGGACAUUUCAUGCAAUUGGGAAGUUUGCCCCCAUCUCCAACAUUGAGUGGAAAAUGGUGCCAAAUCAGAAGAAGGAAGAGAUGUUGAAAGCCAUAGAGGUUUUGUUGUUCUUGUUGAGGUUCCAUGACAGAAUGAAACAAGAAGAAAACAAAGGGAAGAAACAAAUGAGAGGGAG
Molecule: long non-coding RNA, 477 nt
Organism: Vitis riparia (riverbank grape)
Lineage: Eukaryota; Viridiplantae; Streptophyta; Magnoliopsida; Vitales; Vitaceae
Exons: 4
Source: RefSeq, a predicted model, not a curated record